This 337-nucleotide unclassified non-coding RNA is filed under the name soil metagenome. RNAcentral describes it as "partial contains 5.8S ribosomal RNA, internal transcribed spacer 2, and large subunit ribosomal RNA". The stretch from base 1 to 120 matches the Rfam family "5.8S ribosomal RNA", at positions 35 to 154 of the family's 154-position model. The record is from RNAcentral.
GAUGAAGAACGUAGCGAAAUGCGAUAAGUAGUGUGAAUUGCAGAAUUCAGUGAAUCAUCGAAUCUUUGAACGCACAUUGCGCCUCUUGGUAUUCCAUGGGGCAUGCCUGUUCGAGCGUCAUUUGUACCUUCAAGCUCUGCUUGGUGUUGGGUGUUUGUCUCGCCUCUGCGUGUAGACUCGCCUCAAAACAAUUGGCAGCCGGCGUAUUGAUUUCGGAGCGCAGUACAUCUCGCGCUUUGCACUCAUAACGACGACGUCCAAAAGUACAUUUUUACACUCUUGACCUCGGAUCAGGUAGGGAUACCCGCUGAACUUAAGCAUAUCAAUAAGCGGAGGA